RNAcentral lists this long non-coding RNA (798 nucleotides) under Oryzias javanicus (javanese ricefish). RNAcentral describes it as "lncRNA (ENSOJAG00000018212.1)". Lineage: Eukaryota; Metazoa; Chordata; Actinopteri; Beloniformes; Adrianichthyidae. The record is from RNAcentral.
AUAUGUUGCUAAUCAGUUGAUUUCAAUUCAAAGGGACUAGAUUUUCUUAACUUGCCCUUUUUCAUUUGAUUAGCAGAUACAGAAAUAUUUUACCUUACUUGAUACAUUUUGUUUUGAUGGCAUUAUCUGAAAAAUAAUUUUUGAAAGCAGUGUCUGUCUGGUUUUAGGGUCACAGCCCUCUCACCCUGACCGCAGGGUGAAAGGUCAGACGGCCUCUGCGUGCGGAGGCCGCUUCACUCCCACCAACAUCACGAUAAACUUCAUGAAGGUAUCCGUCCACCUUGAGCACUUCCGGGUCAGUGAGGCCGGAUCUCAGCUCGCAGGCUUCUGGGAAUUGUCAGCUGACGUCUGAAUGGAUGUUGCCGUGGCGACUGGUGUAAAGAUAACAGGAGGUAAUGAGAUAUUAACCCAAGUGAGGGAGAAGCUGCGGGUGUUUGCAGGACUGGCUGAAGGGCAGAAUUUGAGUAUGGAUGACCCCGGCCUGAUCGGUAUUUAUUCGGCACUUCUAACCACCAGCACGACCCUCUGAGAUGAGGUGGAUUGCAUUGACUCGGAAUGCCAGAUCUUCGCACUAGAGGCUCCGCUCUCUCCACCUUCCCUGGGGUUCGGCACUCGAGUGGAUCAGCCGGAGGGUCAGAGGUUCUCAGGCUUCACGUGAAAGACAUCGGAGAGAGGACAGACCAUGCUUCUGCCGGGCGGGGCCAGGUUGGCCCGAAAAAUCUGUGCUUCAUCUCAGAUUUUUUAAGAGGAGCCACAAGUGAACAAAGAGUAGUCCUCCAGUUAGAAGCAGAUAAACCA